AUUUAAGUAGCUUAAAAUUAAAGCUUGACAUUGAAGCUGUUAAGAUGAUCUGUUGAUCCUUAAAUA
Molecule: transfer RNA, 66 nt
Filed under: Acisoma panorpoides
Lineage: Eukaryota; Metazoa; Arthropoda; Insecta; Odonata; Libellulidae
Description: tRNA-Phe
Rfam family: tRNA
About the family: Transfer RNA (tRNA) molecules are approximately 80 nucleotides in length.
Source: RNAcentral